Molecule: ribosomal RNA, 482 nt
Filed under: uncultured bacterium
Lineage: Bacteria
Description: partial 16S ribosomal RNA
Rfam family: Bacterial small subunit ribosomal RNA
Source: RNAcentral
AUUGAACGCUGGCGGCAUGCCUUACACAUGCAAGUCGAACGGUAACAGGUCUUCGUAUGCUGACGAGUGUCGGACGGGGGAGUAAUACAUCGGAACGUGCCCGCUCGCUGGGGAUAACGCAGCGAAAGCUGUGCUAAUACCGCAUACGAUCUACGGAUGAAAACGGGGGAUCGCAAUACUUCGCGCGGACUGUGCGGUCGAUGGCAGAUUAGGUAGUUGGUCGGUUAAAAGCUUACCAAGCCGACGAUCUGUAGCUGGUCUGAGAGGACGACCAGCCACACUGGAACUGAGACACGGCCCAGACUCCUACGGGAGGCAGCAGUGGGGAAUUUUGGACAAUGGGCGAAAGCCUGAUCCAGCAAUGCCGCGUGCAGGAUGAAGGCCUUCGGGUUGUAAACUGCUUUUGUACGGAACGAAAAAGCUCUCUCUAAUACAGGGGGUGAAUGACGGUACCGUAAGAAUAAGCACCGGCUAACUACGUG